AACGAACGCUGGCGGCAGGCUUAACACAUGCAAGUCGAGCGCCCCGCAAGGGGAGCGGCAGACGGGUGAGUAACGCGUGGGAAUCUACCUUUUGCUACGGAAUAACUCAGGGAAACUUGUGCUAAUACCGUAUGUGCCCUUCGGGGGAAAGAUUUAUCGGCAAGGGAUGAGCCCGCGUUGGAUUAGGUAGUUGGUGGGGUAAUGGCCUACCAAGCCGACGAUCCAUAGCUGGUCUGAGAGGAUGAUCAGCCACAUUGGGACUGAGACACGGCCCAAACUCCUACGGGAGGCAGCAGUGGGGAAUAUUGGACAAUGGGCGCAAGCCUGAUCCAGCCAUGCCGCGUGAGUGAUGAAGGCCCUAGGGUUGUAAAGCUCUUUCACCGGUGAAGAUAAUGACGGUAACCGGAGAGGAAGCCCCGGCUAACUUCGUGCCAGCCGCCGCCGUAA
RNAcentral lists this ribosomal RNA (447 nucleotides) under uncultured bacterium. Its description in RNAcentral is "partial 16S ribosomal RNA". It matches the Rfam family "Bacterial small subunit ribosomal RNA", at positions 29 to 523 of the family's 1533-position model. The record is from RNAcentral.